UGUAUUUAGAGGAAGUAUAAGUCGUAACAAGGUUUCCGUAGGUGAACCUGCGGAAGGAUCAUUAUUGAAAUAAACCUGAUGGGUUGUUGCUGGCUCUCUAGGGAGCAUGUGCACGCCUUGUCAUCUUUAUAUCUCCACCUGUGCACCUUUUGUAGACCUUUCGGGGUCUAUGUUGCUUCAUUUUUCCACAAUGUAUGUUAAUAGAAUGUUGUGCCCUGUAUAAUAUAUACAACUUUCAGCAACGGAUCUCUUGGCUCUCGCAUCGAUGAAGAACGCAGCGAAAUGCGAUAAGUAAUGUGAAUUGCAGAAUUCAGUGAAUCAUCGAAUCUUUGAACGCACCUUGCGCUCCUUGGUAUUCCGAGGAGCAUGCCUGUUUGAGUGUCAUUAAUAUACAUAUAUCAAGCCUUCUCUUGUAGAAGGGUUUGGAUGUGGGGGUUUGCUGGCCUCUUAAUCUUAAGAGUUCAGCUCUCCUGAAAUGCAUUAGCAGAACAACCUUAUGUUCAUUGGUGUGAUAACUAUCUACGCUAUUGAAUGUUGAGGGGGAAGUUCAGCUUUCUAACGGUCCCUUGGACAACUCAUCAUUAAUGUGACCUCAAAUCAGGUAGGACUACCCGCUGAACUUAAGCAUAUCAAUAAGCGGAGGAAAAGAAACUAACAAGGAUUCCCCUAGUAACUGCGAGUGAAGCGGGAAAAGCUCAAAUUUAAAAUCUGGCGGUUUUUUUGGCCGUCCGAGUUGUAAUCUAGAGAAGUGUUAUCCGCGCUGGACCGUGUACAAGUCUCCUGGAAUGGAGCAUCAUAGAGGGUGAGAAUCCCGUCUUUGACAUGGACUGCCAGGGCUUUGUGAUGCGCUCUCAAAGAGUCGAGUUGUUUGGGAAUGCAGCUCAAAAUGGGUGGUAAAUUCCAUCUAAAGCUAAAUAUUGGCGAGAGACCGAUAGCGAACAAGUACCGUGAGGGAAAGAUGAAAGAACUU
Molecule: ribosomal RNA, 970 nt
Filed under: Cortinarius saniosus
Lineage: Eukaryota; Fungi; Basidiomycota; Agaricomycetes; Agaricales; Cortinariaceae
Description: eukaryotic LSU rRNA
Rfam family: Eukaryotic large subunit ribosomal RNA (bases 588-970)
Source: RNAcentral